AUACGGAGGGUGCAAGCGUUAUCCGGAAUCAUUGGGUUUAAAGGGUCCGUAGGCGGAUUGGUAAGUCAGUGGUGAAAGUCUGCAGCUUAACUGUAGAAUUGCCAUUGAUACUGCUAGUCUUGAAUUACUGUGAAGUGAUUAGAAUGUGUAGUGUAGCGGUGAAAUGCAUAGAUAUUACACAGAAUACCAAUUGCGAAGGCAGAUCACUAACAGUAUAUUGACGCUGAGGGACGAAAGCGUGGGGAGCAAACAGGAUUAGAUACCCUAGUAGUCC
RNAcentral lists this ribosomal RNA (274 nucleotides) under uncultured bacterium. RNAcentral's name for it is "partial 16S ribosomal RNA". It matches the Rfam family "Bacterial small subunit ribosomal RNA", at positions 523 to 796 of the family's 1533-position model. The record is from RNAcentral.